UAGUCUGGUGCCAGCAGCCGCGGUAAUUCCAGCUCCAAUAGCGUAUAUUAAAGUUGUUGCAGUUAAAACGCUCGUAGUCGGAUUUCGGGGCGGGUCCGCCGGUCUGCCGAUGGGUAUGCACUGGCGGGCGCGUCCUUCCUUCCGGAGACUGGCCCUACUCUUAACUGAGCGGGGUCGGGAGUCGGAUCGUUUACUUUGAAAAAAUCAGAGUGUUUCAAGCAGGCAGCUCGCUCUUGCAUGGAUUAGCAUGGGAUAAUGAAAUAGGACUUUGGUGCUAUUUUGUUGGUUUCGAACACCGAAGUAAUGAUUAACAGGGACAGUCAGGGGCACUCGUAUUCCGCCGAGAGAGGUGAAAUUCUCAGACCAGCGGAAGACGAACCACUGCGAAAGCAUUUGCCAGGGAUGUUUUCACUGAUCAAGAACGAAAGUUAGGGGAUCGAAGACGAUCAGAUACCGUCGUAGUCUUAACCAUAAACCAUGCCGACUAGGGAUUGGGGGAAGUCCUUCUUUGACUCCCUCAGCACCUUAAGGGAAACUAUAGUUUUUGGGUUCCGGGGGGAGUAUGGUCGCAAGGCUGAAACUUAAAGGAAUUGACGGAAGGGCACCACCAGGAGUGGAGCCUGCGGCUUAAUUUGACUCAACACGGGGGAACUUACCAGGUCCAGACAUUGGAAGGAUUGACAGAUUGAGAGCUCUUUCUUGAUUCGAUGGGUGGUGGUGCAUGGCCGUUCUU
RNAcentral lists this ribosomal RNA (733 nucleotides) under uncultured eukaryote. Its description in RNAcentral is "SSU rRNA". It matches the Rfam family "Eukaryotic small subunit ribosomal RNA", at positions 557 to 1295 of the family's 1831-position model. The record is from RNAcentral.